Molecule: long non-coding RNA, 4242 nt
Filed under: Brassica napus (rape)
Lineage: Eukaryota; Viridiplantae; Streptophyta; Magnoliopsida; Brassicales; Brassicaceae
Description: long non-coding RNA (BNAP_LNC011195)
Source: RNAcentral
UCGAUUGUUGCAGACCUGUUGUCCUGAUCAACCAGAUCGGAUGAUCUACUUGCUCCGUGUCUUGAAACUCUUCAUCAAUUGCACCGUCGUGGCCGUCUCUCUGGGACUGAUAACUUUCGAGGUUGACUCGGUUUACGCUCUUUGUAACGUAUUUGGCUACAAGAAAGAAACCGGUUAGAAGGAUGGCUAAGACCGCACCGGUGACGGCGAUGAUGGUUAUGGCGCCUAAGGAUGAUGAAGAGUCUUGAGAUGGUUGAUACACGGCUGAGAUUGAUGGAGAUUGUGGUCUGAUCGUCUGUGGAGAUGACCAUGGAGGUAGCUGUGGAGAUAUGGUGUAGUAAUCAGGUUCUUGAUAGCAGUUAUAAGGGCAAACCGGGUCACAGAUUCCUAUUGAGCAAUCAAAUGUUUUGUUUGUCUCCGAUGCUAAUAUUGGGAAGAGCUUUCUAUGUUUCUUCUUGGCCAUUAAAGAAAAAUGGUAUUGUUUCUUGGUGUCCAAGGAACUAAGAUCAAGAGAAAUUGCAAGGGCAUGUGAGAACUGAAAUGUUCAUAGAAAUUUCGGUUUUUGACAAUGUAGAAGAUGGUUUGAUUUUAUCUUUGGUGUUUCUUUCACAUUCAAGAGAAAGGAAGAUGAAAAUGUCUUCUCAUCUUAGGUAAUUGACUUGUUCUGUGACAAGUUGAAGCAUCUUCUAAUUGUUUAAUUGGUGGUGAGUCUUAGUCAUGAAAGCCAUAUAUUACCUUUGAGCUUUUGACUCUUUGGCUUUUGAAGACUUAAGUAAUGUUUAUCCUUUGUUGGCCUUCGGCAGACUAUAAUAUAUAAAUAUAUCCCCUAUACAUUAAUCAUAGAGCAUUACAACAUGUUUUCGUAGCCACGUGUCAUCACGAAAAUGAUUCUUAGAAUUGUUAGAAAAAUAAGUUGGUCCAUAUAAACAUAUUAUAUGCUUUUUAUUAAACUAAUUAUCAAAUUAAUCCCCUAUAUAUUAAUUGAGGAACAUUUGAAAAGAUGUAAUCUCAAUUUUGUAAUAAUUAAAAAAGACCUCUUGCUUAUGUGUCAAUCAAUUAGGUAGUUAAUUAGUCAUACGUAUCAGCCUUACAUUGAAAUUGAAAAACAAGUUGGUCCAAUUCGAUUUUUAUAUCUCACUAGAAACAUUUAAUAUCAACUAUAUAAUAUCAUAUGAUAUUUAUUAAAGCAAGGUGGCUAUUUAUUAUAUAUUAUUUCCUUAAAUAAAACCUACGGAAUUACCUAAUGUGAUUAUGAUAUAUAUAGUAAUUAAUGAUUUUAAAUAAUGAAGAUUUGCUAAUAAUCUGUAUGCUUUCUAUCAUUUUUGUUUAAUUAUUUACUAUUAAAAUAAAUUACACAAUUACAUUAAUCAUAUAUUAAAAAUUUAAAUUUUUUUGUAUAUGUUGUAUUUUGAAAUUUUCAAAACGAGUAUAAAUUACUAAAACUGUUAAAAGUCUCACAUAAACUUUUGUGAUCAAUGUUUAAAUUUUUUUCUAUAGUAAGAUACAAUGAUAAUAAAAUCAUAUAAAUAAAUAAUUUUAUUUUAAUAGGUGUUUAUGUUAAUAUAUAUAUAUACACUUCAUAUCGUUUAAAUUUAAUUAUAUAUCAUAUACGAUAGAUAAGACUGAUUGUUUUGAUUUAUUUAUUCUAAAAUGAUUGCGAAUAAACAAGAACGGUCAUUUGAUUUAUAUGUGCAAGCCAAUUUAUUACAUAAUAGUAACUGAUUUCUUAGUUAUUUAAUAUAUAAUUAUUAUUUUAUUAUUUCAUAAUAUGCAGAAAAAUAUAAAAUAAGUAUUUAUUCUGCACAAGGCGCAUAUCUUAACCUAAAUAUGUAUCUCUUUAAUAAUUUUGAAUCUUAAACAUUUUCUAAAUCUCAGGCCAAAAUAAAAGAAAGAAAUGAGAAUAAACUCAAAAAUUAAUAUUUAUAUCGAGCAAUAACCAAAAUGACACAAAAAUGAGAAAAAUAUCGAAGAUAGAUAGGAUUGGCACGUGAACGUAAACUUCUCAUAACCAUCAUUAACUUUUAAAUUACUAAAUCAUAAUAUAAAACCGAGCUGACAUAGUUUCAUUGUAACCAAAUAGUAGGCAUGAGAUAUUUCGACCUAAACGUUAGGUUUUUAUGCGAUAAAUAAUUUUUUGACCUAAAAUAUUUUUAAAAAUGAGAUCAGUAUAACUUGCUCAUCCGCCUCUGUUUCGAACCCACCACCGUCGUUAACCUCGUUUACAGCUCCAAUUUCAAUCCUUACAUCUGAACUCUGAUCUGUGUUACUUGAACUCAACGUCUCUUUAGAACCAGAUUCAUCAUUCUCGACCUCUCCACGAUCAUCAUCAACCACACGAGAUCCUGAUCCUCCGGGAGGUACAUCAACCGGACCAGAACACCGUGGAGUACUGAUAGCUAUACCAGCUCGACACAAAGGACAGUUUGUAUGAGACCUAAGCCACGUGUCAAUACAAAAGAUGUGAAACGCAUGGUUGCAUUUAGGCAACAACCUAAGACUCUCAUCUUCUUCAAACUCGUUUAAACAGACAGGACAGUCUGUUCUCUCUAUCAAGCCAUCUCCUCUCUUGUAACUACAGAUCGUGAUCGAGUUUAUGAUCGAUUGUUGCAGACCUGUUGUCCUGAUCAACCAGAUCGGAUGAUCUACUUGCUCCGUGUCUUGAAACUCUUCAUCUAUUGCACCGUCGUGGCCGUCUCUCUGGGACUGAUAACUUUCGAGGUUGACUCUGUUAACGCUCUUUGUAACGUAUUUGGCUACAAGAAAGAAUCCUGUGAGAAGGAUGGCUAAGACCGCACCGGUGACGGCGAUGAUGGUUAUGGCGCCUAAGGAUGAUGAAGAGUCUUGAGAUGGUUGAUACACGGCUGAGAUUGAUGGAGAUUGUGGUCUGAUCGUCUGUGGAGAUGACCAUGGAGGUAGCUGUGGAGAUAUGGUGUAGUAAUCAGGUUCUUGAUAGCAGUUAUAAGGGCAAACCGGGUCACAGAUUCCUAUUGAGCAAUCAAAUGUUUUGUUUGUCUCUGAUGCUAAUAUUGGGAAGAGCUUUCUAUGUUUUCUCUUGGCCAUUAAAGAAAAAUGGUAUUGUUUCUUGGGGUACAAGGAACUAAGAUCAAGAGAAUUUGCAAGGGCAUGUGAGAACUGAAAUGUUCAUAGAAAUUUUAGGUUUUUGACAACGUAGAAGAUGGUUUGAUUUUAUCUUUGGUGUUUCUUUCACAUUCAAGAGAAAGGAAGAUGAAAAUGUCUUCUCAUCUUAGGUAUUGACUUGUCUGUGACAAGGUGAAGCAUCUUCUAAUUGUUUAAUUGGUGGUGAGUCUUAGUCAUGAAAGCCAUAUAUUACCUUUGAGCUUUUGACUCUUUGGCUUUUGAAGACUUAAGUAAUGUUUAUCCUUUGUUGGCCUUCGGCAGACUAUAAUAUAUAAAUAUAUCCCCUGUAUAUUAAUCAUAGAGCAUUACAACAUGUUUUCGUAGCCACGUGUCAUCACGAAAAUGAUUCUUAGAAUUGUUAGAAAAAUAAGUUGGUCCAUAUAAACAUAUUAUAUGCUUUUUAUUAAACUAAUUAUCAAAUUAAUCCCCUAUAUAUUAAUUGAGGAACAUUUGAAAAGAUGUAAUCUCAAUUUUGUAAUAAUUAAAAAAGACCUCUUGCUUAUGUGUCAAUCAAUUAGGUAGUUAAUUAGUCAUACGUAUCAGCCUUACAUUGAAAUUGAAAAACAAGUUGGUCCAAUUCGAUUUUUAUAUCUCACUAGAAACAUUUAAUAUCAACUAUAUAAUAUCAUAUGAUAUUUAUGUUGCAGACCUGUUGUCCUGAUCAACCAGAUCGGAUGAUCUACUUGCUCCGUGUCUUGAAACUCUUCAUCAAUUGCACCGUCGUGGCCGUCUCUCUGGGACUGAUAACUUUCGAGGUUGACUCGGUUUACGCUCUUUGUAACGUAUUUGGCUACAAGAAAGAAACCGGUUAGAAGGAUGGCUAAGACCGCACCGGUGACGGCGAUGAUGGUUAUGGCGCCUAAGGAUGAUGAAGAGUCUUGAGAUGGUUGAUACACGGCUGAGAUUGAUGGAGAUUGUGGUCUGAUCGUCUGUGGAGAUGACCAUGGAGGUAGCUGUGGAGAUAUGGUGUAGUAAUCAGGUUCUUGAUAGCAGUUAUAAGGGCAAACCGGGUCACAGAUUCCUAUCGAGCAAUCAAAUGUUUUGUUUGUCUCCGAUGCUAAUAUUGGGAAGAGCUUUCUAUGUUUCUUCUUGGCCAUUAAAGAA